UAUAGUGACGGAGCACUACACCCUUUGUGACAUACCUACAACUGUUGCUUCGGCGGGUAGGGUCUCCGCGACCCUCCCGGCCUCCCGCCUCCGGGCGGGUCGGCGCCCGCCGGAGGAUAACCAAACUCUGAUUUAACGACGUUUCUUCUGAGUGGUACAAGCAAAUAAUCAAAACUUUUAACAACGGAUCUCUUGGUUCUGGCAUCGAUGAAGAACGCAGCGAAAUGCGAUAAGUAAUGUGAAUUGCAGAAUUCAGUGAAUCAUCGAAUCUUUGAACGCACAUUGCGCCCGCCAGCAUUCUGGCGGGCAUGCCUGUUCGAGCGUCAUUUCAACCCUCAAGCUCUGCUUGGUGUUGGGGCCCUACAGCCGAUGUAGGCCCUCAAAGGUAGUGGCGGACCCUCCCGGAGCCUCCUUUGCGUAGUAACUUUACGUCUCGCACUGGGAUCCGGAGGGACUCUUGCCGUAAAACCCCCCAAUUUUCCAAAGGUUGACCUCGGAUCAGGUAGGAAUACCCGCUGAACUUAAGCAUAUCAAUAAGGCGGAGGA
Molecule: ribosomal RNA, 546 nt
Filed under: Colletotrichum gloeosporioides
Lineage: Eukaryota; Fungi; Ascomycota; Sordariomycetes; Glomerellales; Glomerellaceae
Description: eukaryotic LSU rRNA
Rfam family: 5.8S ribosomal RNA (bases 173-326)
Source: RNAcentral